AGCAGGCUCCAGGCUCGGCGCGGUCAGCACAGAGCCUGAUGUGGGGCUCAAACUCAUGAAACCGCGACAUCAUGACCUGAGCCAAAGUUGGAUGCUUUACCGACUGAGCCACCCAGACGCCCCCCAUACAGACAUUUUCAAAGUUGAGUGCGUUCGUCAGAUACAGCAGGCAAGCAGCAGCCUGUGCCUCCACUGCCUGCGGAGAGCUGGUGCUAACAGAAGCCCAGAGUGGUGGUUUCGCUUACAUAAUUCCAGCAUGACUCUCCUAAGCCUCUGGACUCCAGAAGCUGCCCACAGAAGAGAAACAGAAUGAUGUCUCCAUUAAGGAGGGGAUUUUAGCACAUUGCUAUUUUGGCCAGAGAAGCAUUUCAACAACUUUCUGCAAACUAAGAUUAAAAAAAACAACAGGUGA
Felis catus (domestic cat) is the source of this 412-nucleotide long non-coding RNA. RefSeq lists it as uncharacterized. Lineage: Eukaryota; Metazoa; Chordata; Mammalia; Carnivora; Felidae. The transcript has 3 exons. The record is from RefSeq and is a predicted model, not a curated record.